This 486-nucleotide non-coding RNA is filed under the name Buceros rhinoceros silvestris. RNAcentral describes it as "Eukaryotic small subunit ribosomal RNA". It matches the Rfam family "Eukaryotic small subunit ribosomal RNA", at positions 630 to 1113 of the family's 1831-position model. Lineage: Eukaryota; Metazoa; Chordata; Aves; Bucerotiformes; Bucerotidae. The record is from Rfam by way of RNAcentral.
AUGCUAGUUAGAACAAGGUCAAUCAAUCAGGGAAACUGUAAGAAAAUACUGUUAGCCAGAUAGUCCUUUCUGUUGGAAUAGCCUUCACUGAAACUAGUGCUACAGCUACUGCUUAAAAAGUCCAAACCAACAAAACUGAGUGCUUUAGAGCGCACACCUCGAGAGUUUGAUACACUUCUCUGAAGAAAUCGACGUGGUCAAAGCUGGCUGGCCAACAGUGCACUCAAGCCAUGAAAAACAGAACAGAACUCCGGCUCUUUUUUUGUUGUUUUUUAGGAAACAGGACCAUGAUCAAGAGAAGUGGCAGGGGGCUUUCAUAUUGUGCCACUUGAACGGGAAUUCUUGGGCCAGUGCAAGAUGAACUAAAGUAAAAUAAUGUUUUCAUCAAUCAAGGACAAAAGCUGAGGGAUGCGGCCAAUUCACUAUCUGGUGGCAUUACUCCCAUCACCUCCCAGGCAGUUUAUAGGACACACAAGUCUUUGAGUU